GACGAACGCUGGCGGCGUGCUUAACACAUGCAAGUCGUACGGUAAGGCCCUUUCGGGGGUACACGAGUGGCGAACGGGUGAGUAACACGUGAGUAACCUGCCCACAACUUUGGGAUAACGCUAGGAAACUGGUGCUAAUACUGGAUAUGUGCUCCUGCCGCAUGGUGGGGGUUGGAAAGCUCCGGGGGUUGUGGAUGGACUCGCGGCCUAUCAGCUUGUUGGUGGGGUAGUGGCCUACCAAGGCGGCGACGGGUAGCCGGCCUGAGAGGGUGACCGGCCACAUUGGGACUGGGAUACGGCCCAGACUCCUACGGGAGGCAGCAGUGGGGAAUAUUGCACAAUGGGCGCGAGCCUGAUGCAGCAACGCCGCGUGCGGGAUGACGGCCUUCGGGUUGUAAACCGCUUUCAGCAGGGACGAAGCUUUUUGUGACGGUACCUGCAGAAGAAGCACCGGCUAACUACGUG
This 465-nucleotide ribosomal RNA is filed under the name uncultured bacterium. RNAcentral's name for it is "partial 16S ribosomal RNA". It matches the Rfam family "Bacterial small subunit ribosomal RNA", at positions 28 to 507 of the family's 1533-position model. The record is from RNAcentral.